Molecule: ribosomal RNA, 301 nt
Filed under: uncultured bacterium
Lineage: Bacteria
Description: partial 16S ribosomal RNA
Rfam family: Bacterial small subunit ribosomal RNA
Source: RNAcentral
CAGCCGCCGCGGUAAAACGAAGGGUGCAAGCGUUAAUCGGAAUUACUGGGCGUAAAGCGUGCGUAGGCGGUGAGUUAAGUCUGCUGUGAAAUCCCCGGGCUCAACCUGGGAAUGGCAGUGGAUACUGGCUCGCUAGAGUGUGUCAGAGGAUGGUGGAAUUCCCGGUGUAGCGGUGAAAUGCGUAGAGAUCGGGAGGAACAUCAGUGGCGAAGGCGGCCAUCUGGGACAACACUGACGCUGAGGCACGAAAGCGUGGGGAGCAAAUAGGAUUAGAUACCCCCGUAGUCCCUGUCUCUUAUAC